Molecule: long non-coding RNA, 368 nt
Filed under: Hordeum vulgare
Lineage: Eukaryota; Viridiplantae; Streptophyta; Magnoliopsida; Poales; Poaceae
Description: long non-coding RNA (HVUL_LNC015170)
Source: RNAcentral
GAGAGUGGCGGCAAGGCCUAAAGACGCGACAACUGCUUCGAUGCCGAUCGUUUUUAUGUCAUCACGGGGUUGGACUUAAACGAGUCCCGGAUGAAUAAUUAGGGCGGCGAUCGCCGAUAAGAGCAUAAUGACACUAGUCUAUCAAGUUGGUUAGUGCAUAGGUUUAUAUAAGUACCUUCGCUUAUGGGACAGCUAAGGCAGUCUAGAAGUCGCUCUUGCAAGUUGGGGCGGUCCAUGAACUUUGCAAGAUCUUGCUAUAAGAUUCAUAGCACCAUUAUUGUCACGUGCUUGGUUGACGAUGUUCCCAGACAGCCAAAUCAGCUGUGAAGUUAAGUAAGCAGCCCAAAGUUAAUGAAAAAAAAACUGUG